RNAcentral lists this ribosomal RNA (429 nucleotides) under bacterium. RNAcentral describes it as "partial 16S ribosomal RNA". It matches the Rfam family "Bacterial small subunit ribosomal RNA", at positions 355 to 776 of the family's 1533-position model. The record is from RNAcentral.
UAGGGAAUCUUCCACAAUGGACGCAAGUCUGAUGGAGCAACGCCGCGUGAGUGAAGAAGGUUUUCGGAUCGUAAAGCUCUGUUGUUGGUGAAGAAGGAUAGAGGCAGUAACUGGUCUUUAUUUGACGGUAAUCAACCAGAAAGUCACGGCUAACUACGUGCCAGCAGCCGCGGUAAUACGUAGGUGGCAAGCGUUGUCCGGAUUUAUUGGGCGUAAAGCGAGCGCAGGCGGAAUGAUAAGUCUGAUGUGAAAGCCCACGGCUCAACCGUGGAACUGCAUCGGAAACUGUCAUUCUUGAGUGCAGAAGAGGAGAGUGGAAUUCCAUGUGUAGCGGUGGAAUGCGUAGAUAUAUGGAAGAACACCAGUGGCGAAGGCGGCUCUCUGGUCUACAACUGACGCUGAGGCUCGAAAGCAUGGGUAGCGAACAGG